ACGGGAGGCAGCAGUGGGGAAUAUUGGGCAAUGGGCGCAAGCCUGACCCAGCAACGCCGCGUGAAGGAAGAAGGCUUUCGGGUUGUAAACUUCUUUUAUCAGGGACGAUAAUGACGGUACCUGAUGAAUAAGCUCCGGCUAACUACGUGCCAGCAGCCGCGGUAAUACGUAGGUGGCAAGCGUUAUCCGGAUUUACUGGGUGUAAAGGGCGCGUAGGCGGGGAUGCAAGUCAGGUGUGAAAUCUAUGGGCUUAACCCAUAAACUGCAUUUGAAACUGUAUCUCUUGAGUGUCGGAGAGGUAGAUGGAAUUCCUAGUGUAGCGGUGAAAUGCGUAGAUAUUAGGAGGAACACCGGUGGCGAAGGCGACUUUCUGGACUGUAACUGACACUGAGGUACGAAAGCGUGGGGAGCAAACAGGAUUAGAUACCCUGGUA
RNAcentral lists this ribosomal RNA (434 nucleotides) under uncultured Clostridium sp. RNAcentral's name for it is "partial 16S ribosomal RNA". It matches the Rfam family "Bacterial small subunit ribosomal RNA", at positions 341 to 792 of the family's 1533-position model. The record is from RNAcentral. Lineage: Bacteria; Bacillati; Bacillota; Clostridia; Eubacteriales; Clostridiaceae.